RNAcentral lists this ribosomal RNA (1042 nucleotides) under Bacillus licheniformis. Its description in RNAcentral is "bacterial SSU rRNA". It matches the Rfam family "Bacterial small subunit ribosomal RNA", at positions 68 to 1099 of the family's 1533-position model. The record is from RNAcentral. Lineage: Bacteria; Bacillati; Bacillota; Bacilli; Caryophanales; Bacillaceae.
GAAAAGGGGCGCGGAAGUACUGGAAACGGGCUCCCUGAGAGUUUGUGGCGGGGGGGGGAGAAACACGUGGGGGACCCGCGUGUAUGACAGGGAUAACUCCGGGAAACCGGGGAUAAUACCGGAGGCUUGAUUGAACCGCACGGUUCAAAUAUAAAAGGUGGCUUUUAGCUACCACUUACAGAUGGACCCCCGGCGCAAUAACUAGUUGGUGAAGUAACGGCUCACCAAGGCAACCAUGCCUAGCCGAACUGAGAAGGUGAACGGCCACACUGGGACUGAAACACGGCCCAAAAUCCUACGGGAAGCAGCAAUAGGGAAUCUUCCCCAAUGGACGAAAGUCUGACGGAACAACGCCGCGUGAGUGAUGAAGGUUUUCGGAUCGUAAAACUCUGUUGUUAGGGAAGAACAAGUACCGUUCGAAUAGGGCGGUACCUUGACGGUACCUAACCAGAAAGCCACGGCUAACUACGUGCCAGCAGCCGCGGUAAUACGUAGGUGGCAAGCGUUGUCCGGAAUUAUUGGGCGUAAAGCGCGCGCAGGCGGUUUCUUAAGUCUGAUGUGAAAGCCCCCGGCUCAACCGGGGAGGGUCAUUGGAAACUGGGGAACUUGAGUGCAGAAGAGGAGAGUGGAAUUCCACGUGUAGCGGUGAAAUGCGUAGAGAUGUGGAGGAACACCAGUGGCGAAGGCGACUCUCUGGUCUGUAACUGACGCUGAGGCGCGAAAGCGUGGGGAGCAAACAGGAUUAGAUACCCUGGUAGUCCACGCCGUAAACGAUGAGUGCUAAGUGUUAGAGGGUUUCCGCCCUUUAGUGCUGCAGUAACGCAUUAGCACUCCGCCUGGGGAGUACGGUCGCAAGACUGAAACUCAAAGGAAUUGACGGGGGCCGCACAACGGUGGAACAUGUGGUUAAUUCGAACCACGCGAAAACCUUACAGGUCUUGACAUCUCUGACACCCUAGAAAAAGGCUUCCCUUCGGGGAAAAUGAAAGGGGGGAAGGUUGCCUCACUCCGGCCGAAAAUUUGGGUAAGUCCCGAACGAGCC